GAAAUGCGAUAAGUAAUGUGAAUUGCAGAAUUCAGUGAAUCAUCGAAUCUUUGCACGCACAUUGCGCCCGCCAGUAUUCUGGCGGGCAUGCCUGUUCGAGCGUCAUUUCAACCAUCAAGCCCCCGGCUUGUGUUGGGGACCUGCGGCUGCCCGCAGGCCCUGAAAAACAGUGGCGGGCUCGCUGUCACACCGAGCGUAGUAGCAUACAUUCUCGCUCAGGGCGUGCUGCGGGUUCCGGCCGUUAAACGACCUUCAUAACCCAAGGUUGACCUCGGAUCAGGUAGGAAGACCCGCUGAACUUAAGC
Molecule: unclassified non-coding RNA, 305 nt
Filed under: plant metagenome
Description: partial contains 5.8S ribosomal RNA, internal transcribed spacer 2, and large subunit ribosomal RNA
Rfam family: 5.8S ribosomal RNA (bases 1-105)
Source: RNAcentral